This 876-nucleotide ribosomal RNA is filed under the name Bipolaris oryzae. RNAcentral describes it as "SSU rRNA". It matches the Rfam family "Eukaryotic small subunit ribosomal RNA", at positions 222 to 1104 of the family's 1831-position model. The record is from RNAcentral. Lineage: Eukaryota; Fungi; Ascomycota; Dothideomycetes; Pleosporales; Pleosporaceae.
CCAAUGCCCUUCGGGGCUUUUUGGUGAUUCAUGAUAACUUUACGGAUCGCAUAGCCUUGCGCUGGCGACGGUUCAUUCAAAUUUCUGCCCUAUCAACUUUCGAUGGUAAGGUAUUGGCUUACCAUGGUUUCAACGGGUAACGGGGAAUUAGGGUUCGAUUCCGGAGAGGGAGCCUGAGAAACGGCUACCACAUCCAAGGAAGGCAGCAGGCGCGCAAAUUACCCAAUCCCGACACGGGGAGGUAGUGACAAUAAAUACUGAUACAGGGCUCUUUUGGGUCUUGUAAUUGGAAUGAGUACAAUUUAAACCUCUUAACGAGGAACAAUUGGAGGGCAAGUCUGGUGCCAGCAGCCGCGGUAAUUCCAGCUCCAAUAGCGUAUAUUAAAGUUGUUGCAGUUAAAAAGCUCGUAGUUGAAACUUGGGUCUGGCUGGCGGGUCCGCCUCACCGCGUGCACUCGUCCGGCCGGGCCUUCCUUCUGAAGAACCUCAUGCCCUUUACUGGGCGUGUUGGGGAAUCAGGACUUUUACUUUGAAAAAAUUAGAGUGUUCAAAGCAGGCCUUUGCUCGAAUACGUUAGCAUGGAAUAAUAAAAUAGGGCGUGCGUUUCUAUUUUGUUGGUUUCUAGAGACGCCGCAAUGAUUAACAGGAACAGUCGGGGGCAUCAGUAUUCAGUUGUCAGAGGUGAAAUUCUUGGAUUUACUGAAGACUAACUACUGCGAAAGCAUUUGCCAAGGAUGUUUUCAUUAAUCAGUGAACGAAAGUUAGGGGAUCGAAGACGAUCAGAUACCGUCGUAGUCUUAACCGUAAACUAUGCCGACUAGGGAUCGGGCGAUGUUCUUUUUCUGACUCGCUCGGCACCUUACGAGAAAUCAAAGU